This 333-nucleotide small nuclear RNA is filed under the name Pteropus vampyrus (large flying fox). RNAcentral describes it as "7SK RNA (ENSPVAG00000024625.1)". It matches the Rfam family "7SK RNA". From Rfam's summary of the family: 7SK was discovered as an abundant small nuclear RNA in the mid-70s but a possible function has only recently been suggested. Two independent studies have found that 7SK RNA binds the CDK9/cyclin T complex (known as elongation factor P-TEFb). The record is from Rfam by way of RNAcentral. Lineage: Eukaryota; Metazoa; Chordata; Mammalia; Chiroptera; Pteropodidae.
GGAUGUAAAGGUGAUGUGACUAUGACAUAUGUUGCCCCAUUGAUCACCAGAGUUGAUUCAGCUGACCUGGCUAGCUGGGGGUGGGGGUGUCCCCGUCCUCCCUCACCGCUACUCAUUCGUCCCUCCCAAAAUAGCUUGCUCAGCCAAAGAGGACAAAUUCCUGGAGGGUGGAGAGGAGCACUUUUACACAAAGGAUAUACAAGUAGUUGUGCUCCCUGGCUGGAACCUCCAAACACACUCUCGGGGUUCAUUUGUAGAACAUAGGAUGGACAGGCUUCCAAGACUCCAGGCACAUCCAAAUGAGGUGCUACAUGUGGCAGACUGCCUUCCUUU